AAAGCUUGGGGUUGAGAAGGACAGAGAGGACUUUAAUUUUGCUCUGGCGGAGUGACGUCAUAAGGCUGCGCGCUCCCGCGUCUGUUGUGAUACGGCUCGAGGAAGAGAAAGUCCUGCUGAAGCGACUGAGAUCAUUGUGACUCACUGAUAUAAAGAUGGCGUAUAUUAAAGAGGAGAGUGAAGACUUCAGGAUUGAAGAAGUGUUCAGUCUGAAACAAGAAGAGACUGAGGAACAAACAGACCUGCUGGUGCUGAAAGAGGAGAAUCAGAUCUGAAUGAAAU
Molecule: long non-coding RNA, 282 nt
Organism: Cyprinus carpio (common carp)
Lineage: Eukaryota; Metazoa; Chordata; Actinopteri; Cypriniformes; Cyprinidae
Exons: 3
Source: RefSeq, a predicted model, not a curated record